GAUGAACGCUGGCGGCGUGCCUAAUACAUGCAAGUCGAGCGAACAGAUGAGGAGCUUGCUCCUCUGACGUUAGCGGCGGACGGGUGAGUAACACGUGGAUAACCUACCUAUAAGACUGGGAUCACUACGGGAAACCGGAGCUAAUACCGGAUAAUAUAUUGAACCACAUGGUUCAAUAGUGAAAGACGGUUUUGCUGUCACUUAUAGAUGGAUCCGCGCCGCAUUAGCUAGUUGUUAAGGUAACGGGUUACCAAGGCAACGAUGCGUAGCCGACCUGUGGGGGUGAUAGGCCACACUGGAAGUGAGACACGGUCCAGACGCCUACGGGAGGCAGCAGUAGGGAAUCGUCCGCAAUGGGGGAAAGCAUGACGGAGCAACGCCGCGUGAGUGAUGAAGGUCUUCGGAUCGUAAAACUCUGUUAUUAGGGAAGAACAAAUGUGUAAGUAACUAUGCACGUCUUGACGGUACCUAAUCAGAAAGCCACGGCUAACUACGUG
This 497-nucleotide ribosomal RNA is filed under the name uncultured bacterium. RNAcentral describes it as "partial 16S ribosomal RNA". It matches the Rfam family "Bacterial small subunit ribosomal RNA", at positions 28 to 507 of the family's 1533-position model. The record is from RNAcentral.